CGCCGGAAGCAGUGCACUGAUCCGCACGGUCCUCACCGACGCCGUCCCCCACAGCUCGACCCAGGGGCAGCGCACGGAGACAGGACGGUCGCCAGACCGUGCGGGGAGCAAGUGGCGAGACCGAUGCGUCCGGUA
This 135-nucleotide non-coding RNA is filed under the name unclassified sequences. RNAcentral describes it as "c-di-GMP sequence". It matches the Rfam family "c-di-GMP-II-GAG riboswitch aptamer". The record is from Rfam by way of RNAcentral.